UGGAGAGAGAAAAGAGACAGAAG
This 23-nucleotide microRNA is filed under the name Homo sapiens (human). RNAcentral describes it as "hsa-miR-4644". The record is from miRBase by way of RNAcentral. Lineage: Eukaryota; Metazoa; Chordata; Mammalia; Primates; Hominidae.